UCUGCUCCGCACAGCCUCCCCGGGGCUGCUCUCGGGCGUGGGAUGCCCAAAGCACGGCGCUGCUGAUGCUCCUGCCCCGCCAGCUCAGCACACGCUGCUGCCCACCAAACCAGACAGAUACAGCUCUUGAGCCUGGCAUGAAGGGGUGCUACGUGCUGUAUGAAGCCUUGCUCACUCACCCUUCAUAGGAUCUCUCCCACAAACAAGGCUGUUUGCUCAGACUGCCUUCACGGAUCUACAGUGAUCCCUUUGCUCUUCACACGACAUCAAGAAUAAGAAAAAAAGCUGUACCUGCAUGAAAAGGAAUGUCCAUUUCCCUGAUUUUUCCCUCCAGCUCCAGGUACCCAAACGUGUCCUAGGGCUGCAGGGCAGCCUCCCGCAGCAUUAUCAGACAGCGGCGGUUCUUGAAGUCGAACAACUCGGAUGGAAGCGAGAGCGUGGCAGGACACCGAGGGCAGGACCGGGAUGCGCCCCUGGCCCUCUGCAGCUCCAGCUGUUUCUUCAGGUGCAGAUGUAGCAUGACAUCUAAAUGUAAAUCACCACAAGCAGCUCCUAACUUCAAUGCAUGUCAGGAGUUACUACACCAGGGCCAACUCUUUAGGUGCAGAGCAUCCUCCCCACUUUGAACCCUGCUGAAGUUCGUACAGAAACAGGCUGGCUACAAAGUGCUUCUGUCUUCCCUUCCCCCAGAUAUAGCAAUCAAUAGAGCAAACUACUUCAUCAUUUUCCUCCUAAUGAAAACUAUACCCUGUCUGCAAAACAAGGGAUGAGCCCUGUACUGGCACCGUCUAUGCCAACUAUUGCU
Molecule: long non-coding RNA, 805 nt
Organism: Athene cunicularia (burrowing owl)
Lineage: Eukaryota; Metazoa; Chordata; Aves; Strigiformes; Strigidae
Exons: 3
Source: RefSeq, a predicted model, not a curated record